This 253-nucleotide ribosomal RNA is filed under the name uncultured bacterium. RNAcentral's name for it is "partial 16S ribosomal RNA". It matches the Rfam family "Bacterial small subunit ribosomal RNA", at positions 524 to 776 of the family's 1533-position model. The record is from RNAcentral.
CACGGAGGAGGCAAGCGUUAUCCGGAAUUAUUGGGCGUAAAGGGUACGUAGGCGGCUGUGCAAGUCUGGGGUUAAAGGGCACAGCUCAACCGUGGGAAGGCCCUGGAAACUAACCAGCUAGAGUGAGGUAGGGGAAGCGGGAAUUCCCGGUGUAGCGGUGAAAUGCGUAGAGAUCGGGAAGAACACCUGAGGCGGAAGCGCUCGGCUGGGCCUGAACUGACGCUGAGGUACGAAAGCUAGGGGAGCGAAUGGG